UUUUAAAUAGUGUAAAAAACACUUAACAUUUUCGUUGUUAGAAUUCUUUUUUGAUUUAAAUUCCAAAA
RNAcentral lists this transfer RNA (68 nucleotides) under Amblyomma fimbriatum (goanna tick). RNAcentral describes it as "tRNA-Glu". Lineage: Eukaryota; Metazoa; Arthropoda; Arachnida; Ixodida; Ixodidae. The record is from RNAcentral.